GACGAACGCUGGCGGCGUGCCUAAUACAUGCAAGUAGAACGCUGAAGGAGGAGCUUGCUUCUCUGGAUGAGUUGCGAACGGGUGAGUAACGCGUAGGUAACCUGCCUGGUAGCGGGGGAUAACUAUUGGAAACGAUAGCUAAUACCGCAUAAUAUUGACUAUUGCAUGAUAGUCAGUUGAAAGGUGCAACUGCACCACUACCAGAUGGACCUGCGUUGUAUUAGCUAGUUGGUGGGGUAACGGCUCACCAAGGCGACGAUACAUAGCCGACCUGAGAGGGUGAUCGGCCACACUGGGACUGAGACACGGCCCAGACUCCUACGGGAGGCAGCAGUAGGGGAUCUUCGGCAAUGGACGGAAGGCUGACCGAGCAACGCCGCGUGAGUGAAGAAGGUUUUCGGAUCGUAAAGCUCUGUUGUAAGAGAAGAACGAGUGUGAGAGUGGAAAGCUCACACUGUGACGGUAUCUUACCAGAAAGGGACGGCUAACUACGUG
This 495-nucleotide ribosomal RNA is filed under the name uncultured bacterium. Its description in RNAcentral is "partial 16S ribosomal RNA". It matches the Rfam family "Bacterial small subunit ribosomal RNA", at positions 28 to 507 of the family's 1533-position model. The record is from RNAcentral.